UUACACUAGUGUGUACAUAGGAAACGAUUUAAACAUUUAUGAACAUAAUUGAACAUAAUUAUAUCAUUAUUGAGUGUCAGACACACUUCUUAUAUCUGUUAUAAGUACUCUGAGUGAAGACUGAAUUUGUGUAAAUGCGUGUGCUGCUACCUCAUAACUAUGAUUAUGCCAUUCGCAGCUUAACUCAUUUAGACGAGCACAUCCUGUAACGUUAGCGUCUUUUCUCACGCUUUUCUGGGUGAAGGUAACAUUAGUUGAUUACUGUUGAGACAUUCUGGCUGCUAACCAUCUAUCAGUAAUAAACGUUAUCCAGGGUAACUGCCAUUUAAAUGUUAUUGCAAUGGUUUCAUAAUUAGACCCAUUUUAAUUUAAGUUGCAGUCUUGUGCUCAAAUUGUUUACAACACUUGUUACAACUAAAACACAUUCAAAAGAUAUUUAUUAUUAGUUUUGCUUUAUAUGAUUCAUGUCACUUGUUUUUCUCUAGGAAAGCAGUUGUUCCCCAUGCAACAUUUUGAGUUGCAUCAGUGCUAGGCCUCUUGCAUCAAGACAUCCACUUUACGGUUUGCUGGAUAUGUUAAUGGAUGUUCAAUGUCGGUCCUGGAGAGCCACAGUCCUGCAGAGUUUAGCUCCAACUUUGUUUAACAAACCUGUUUUGAAGUUUCUAGUAUGUUUUGUGAGACCUUGAUUGGCUGUUCAGGUGUGUUUGAUUAGAGUUGAAGCGAAACUUUGCAGGACACAGGCCCUCCAGGACUGACUUUGCACACCCCUGUGUUAAUGGACAGGAUCUCUGCAAGAGACAACACACACGAUGUUGACUACGUCCUCAGCCACGUUUCUCCUGAAAUUAGUGCAAGAGUGAGCUCCACAGCUUUGGUAAAACGGAAGAUCAUAAGCUACUUAAAUAUUUCCUUCAAGGAAUAUGGAGAUGGACUUUGCAUUGUAUACUGCAUCUAAAAAGACUCGAAAUCUAUCCAAGAUAUGACUUUCCUCAUCAGAACAGCAUGAAUGGCUCCAUCUAAUACAAGUGCAUGACCAUCAAUUUAA
Molecule: long non-coding RNA, 1045 nt
Organism: Triplophysa dalaica
Lineage: Eukaryota; Metazoa; Chordata; Actinopteri; Cypriniformes; Nemacheilidae
Exons: 2
Source: RefSeq, a predicted model, not a curated record